This 425-nucleotide ribosomal RNA is filed under the name uncultured bacterium. RNAcentral's name for it is "partial 16S ribosomal RNA". It matches the Rfam family "Bacterial small subunit ribosomal RNA", at positions 354 to 796 of the family's 1533-position model. The record is from RNAcentral.
GUGGGGAAUUUUGGACAAUGGGCGAAAGCCUGAUCCAGCAAUGCCGCGUGUGUGAAGAAGGCCUUCGGGUUGUAAAGCUCUUUCAGUGGGGACGAUAAUGACGGUACCCACAGAAGAAGCCCCGGCUAACUUCGUGCCAGCAGCCGCGGUAAUACGAAGGGGGCUAGCGUUGUUCGGAUUUACUGGGCGUAAAGCGCACGUAGGCGGAUCGUUAAGUCGGGGGUGAAAUCCUGGAGCUCAACUCCAGAACUGCCUUCGAUACUGGCGAUCUUGAGUCCGGAAGAGGUGAGUGGAACUCCUAGUGUAGAGGUGGAAUUCGUAGAUAUUAGGAAGAACACCAGUGGCGAAGGCGGCUCACUGGUCCGGUACUGACGCUGAGGUGCGAAAGCGUGGGGAGCAAACAGGAUUAGAUACCCGAGUAGUCC